UGAUCCAUAUAAGUGAACUGGUUACAAGUCUGUGUACAUUGAAAUAAUCAUUGUUCUAGAUAUUUCUCUGUAACACGUCGUUCUCUCUCCUAGGGUUUGUCUUGAUUUCCUUCGUUUGUAAAGAUCUGGUGUUUAGAUCUUGUAUCGUGAGUCAAGUUGUAUAUCAGAUCAUCAAGUUGAUGAUCUUGUUCAAGUGUUUUAAUAAGAGUUUUGGUUGCUGAUUUCAUGUCUUUUGACAUGGUAUCAGAGCUCUGAUACGUUCUUUGAGUUGUUCGCUUCCGUUAUUAGUCUCUGAUUCUUGAUUCGCUGGUUAGGGUUUCAUAGAGUUUUGGGGUUUUUUCAUCUUCUUGUUGUAAGAUCGGUGGUUUUAUGGGUUAUUCUGAACAGAUCUGAAGAGUUGCUGGUUCUGGAUCUGGUCAUCUUGAGUUUGAUUUGUGAAGAUUUCGGUUGAUUAUUGUUAAGAUUCUUGGAAUCUUGGUAACUUCAGAUCUGUUAGUUCUAGAUCUAUUGUUCAAGAUAAGACUGCUCAGACCUGUGAAGACUUCAACUGCUCUGAUUGACUGAAGAAGGUGUUAUUGGUCUUGGUGAACUGUUUUUGCCGACUUUGGUUUUGCAGUGUAGGGUGUCUUUUUUGGUUGUUGAUCUUUAACUGAUAUCUGUUUGUCUAUUGUGUGUGACUGAAUUAAUAAUGGCAGAUCUUAUGAACUUGUUUGGUGAAACUUUAAUAAGUAAACUAGAACCAGAUAAUCCUUUGUAUU
Molecule: long non-coding RNA, 758 nt
Filed under: Helianthus annuus (common sunflower)
Lineage: Eukaryota; Viridiplantae; Streptophyta; Magnoliopsida; Asterales; Asteraceae
Description: sRNA HanXRQr2_Chr11g0509491
Source: RNAcentral